CAGCCGCCGCGGUAAUACGAAGGGUGCAAGCGUUAAUCGGAAUUACUGGGCGUAAAGCGUGCGUAGGCGGUGAGUUAAGUCUGCUGUGAAAUCCCCGGGCUCAACCUGGGAAUGGCAGUGGAUACUGGCUCGCUAGAGUGUGUCAGAGGAUGGUGGAAUUCCCGGUGUAGCGGUGAAAUGCGUAGAGAUCGGGAGGAACAUCAGUGGCGAAGGCGGCCAUCUGGGACAACACUGACGCUGAGGCACGAAAGCGUGGGGAGCGAACAGGAUUAGAUACCCGAGUAGUCCCUGUCUCUUAUAC
RNAcentral lists this ribosomal RNA (301 nucleotides) under uncultured bacterium. Its description in RNAcentral is "partial 16S ribosomal RNA". It matches the Rfam family "Bacterial small subunit ribosomal RNA", at positions 509 to 807 of the family's 1533-position model. The record is from RNAcentral.